AUUUAGCAUUCAGCAUUUAAAAGGGUUGAUCACUAAUGUCGUUUCCUACUGCCGUAGCUAGUUUUGUUAAUCAGACUCCAUUAAUUGUCGGAAACGGGUAUAUCUAAAGUUUUAACAUGUACUUGGAAGGUCCUUGAAAGGAAAAACUUUAUACCAUGUCCAACUAAAAAACUAUAUAAACUAGCUUAAAGAUAGGUUAGCACCAAUUUUUGCCAUGCAUCAACCAAGAUUUCCAACCUUAAGAAUCUUUUGACAUGGCACCUCAACUGGACAUAAAUUGCUCCCCCCAAAGAAAAAGGCAAACAAAUUUUAGUCUAUGAUGUUUCUCAACUAAACCUUAUAUAGGGAUGGACUUUAGCAUUCAGCAUUUAAAAGGGUUGAUCACUAGUGUCGUUUCCUAUUGCUGUAGCUAGUUUUGUUAAUCAGACUCCAUUAAUUGUCGGAAACGGGUAUAUCUAAAGUUUUAACAUGUACUUGGAAGGUCCUUGAAAGGAAAAACUUUAUAGCAUGUCCAACUAAAAAACUAUAUAAACUAGCUUAAAGAUAGGUUAGCACCAAUUUUUGCUAAGCAUCAACCAAGAUUUCCAACCUUAAGAAUCUUUUGACAUGGCACCUCAACUGGACAUAAAUUGCUGCCCCCAAAGAAAAAGGCAAGCAAAUUUU
Molecule: long non-coding RNA, 663 nt
Filed under: Gossypium barbadense (sea-island cotton)
Lineage: Eukaryota; Viridiplantae; Streptophyta; Magnoliopsida; Malvales; Malvaceae
Description: long non-coding RNA (GBAR_LNC006703)
Source: RNAcentral